Molecule: ribosomal RNA, 81 nt
Filed under: Glaesserella parasuis
Lineage: Bacteria; Pseudomonadati; Pseudomonadota; Gammaproteobacteria; Pasteurellales; Pasteurellaceae
Description: partial 16S ribosomal RNA
Rfam family: Bacterial small subunit ribosomal RNA
Source: RNAcentral
UUAAAUUGAAGAGUUUGAUCAUGGCUCAGAUUGAACGCUGGCGGCAGGCUUAACACAUGCAAGUCGAACGGUAGCAGGAAG